Molecule: unclassified non-coding RNA, 288 nt
Filed under: Hevea brasiliensis (rubber tree)
Lineage: Eukaryota; Viridiplantae; Streptophyta; Magnoliopsida; Malpighiales; Euphorbiaceae
Source: RNAcentral
GUGGAACUCCUGUUCUGCCCUGAGCAAUUACAGCCACGCUGCUUCCAUAUGGAUACGUUGAGUCUCCCAUAGUGCCAGGAGCUGCUGGAAGAUGAGAUCUCUGGUAACUGUCUAUAUGGGCCGGUAGAUGCAUAGGAGGAGCCGGAUACAUGGGAUUUGAGUUCAAGUAGGGGUGACCAUAAGGAUCAAUACCUCGAGCUCUUCUCUCGGCAAUUACCACCUGAGCACGCAAUCUCUCCACUUCGUUGGCCAUGUCAAUCAAUUCUUUCUCUGUGAGUUUCAUUUGCU